GACAGACGUUGUUUGUAACAAUUAAUUACACGCUAUUGAGUACCGAGAAUUUCAGCAAAUCUAUAAAUUGUGAGUGGUCGGGGCGACACUCAACAAAGGCGACUUCGGUCCAUCCGUAUGGUAUGAGAUCGUUUCAGUAUGGCGCAGCACCUCAAAAUGUUGCGACAUAAGUUUCCUUUGACGGGAAGUGGGUGGUCCUACUCCUGAUUCACUGGUCAGGACGUAAAACAAAUGACGCUCACGGAGAUUUUCGCCUUUAUUUACUAGGUUUUAGCCAUACAGAAAACUUGUAUUUAUCCAGCAAAGUUUAUACAGGGACCAAAAUUGACGCCAGUUUGCUAGUUGUAAUCAUGGUGUCUGCAAGAGUGCUCCAGCUGUUGGUGUUAGCUUACCUUGCUUCUGCUCUCAAUGCUACAGACAAUGACAGCCAUUUGGUGAUAGCCCCACAGUCUCCAGUGGUGGAAAUUGGGACUAAUUUCACAGCUACAUGCAUGAUCAUCAACACAGCUGAAGUUACAGCAGAUGACCUUUACUGGACUCUGCCUAAAACUGUUGUACCCAAAGAACAGUACACCAGGAUCAACAGAUCAGCUCUCAGUGUCACUGUCCCCAUCACCGGUGAAAACACUGAAUGGUUGUUUUGCCGCUGCAAGAAUGCGUCACCCUAUGUUGUUCUGAACAAAGGCAAAUUUAUUCACGGGAUUAUCCUUACUAAAGGCUAUCGUCCAGAGAAGCCUGUGAAUCUGUCCUGUGUGGCAGUUCAGGAGAAAAUGUUCGUCUCUCCAAAAAUCAACUGUAUGUGGGAACUUGUGGGACGUCAAAGUGCAGAUGUUCCUACAAAUUACACACUGAAGGUUGAAAAUAUCUUCGGUAGGACCUUUAAAAACUCGACACAUGGAAACAGAGCCGAGGUGAUUCUGGACAUUUUCCCCCAUCAUGUUACACUGGAGUUUUGGGUUGAGGCAUACAAUAAGUUGGGAAAAAUCGAAUCUGACCAUCUGAAGGAAGAUGCUGACUGGUUUGUGAAAACAAACCCUCCAUCAGACAUCAAAGUAAUUUCAGAGAAGAGUUUUCCCACUUCCCUACUUAUAAACUGGAUUCAUCCUAUUGCUGAACAAUAUAUGAUAUUAAAAUAUCAAAUCAGGUUCUGCCCAAAUGGAUCUCAUAGUUGGACUUAUGUACCUCUUGUGGACACUGCCAAGUACAUACAGUCCUUUAGACUACAGAAACUUCAGCCAUACACAGUUUAUAUCGUUCAGGUGCGCUGUAGAAAUGCUAGAGAUGGUUACUGGAGCGACUGGAGUACCAAUGCUACCAAGAGAACACCAGAGGACCGAUUGCAGUCAUACUGCUCAUGGUGUUUCGAAUGAGGCGACAUCUGAGCUCCUUUGACAUCUGGCCUUUCUUCGACAGCUCAAAGUAUUGUUGUCGGACUUGCUCAAGUUCUGUGUCGGUGUGCAAUACAUAUUCUGGAAAGGAUAACUUCACAACCUUUUCAGGGGUUGUGUACCUUGCAGGACUUGCGUUCACUGGAGUGGAAGUCUGUCGCAUGGGUGACGCAUUAAAGGAGGAACUGCCCGAUAAUUGUGAGUGUUCUUGGCCAGACUCCUGUAAAAUAAAAGUUUGCGGAAGGCCCUUUACUGUUCCAGCAUGACUGUGCCCCAGUGCAUAAGGUCCAUAAAGACAUGGUGGGAUGAGUUUGGGAUGAGAACUUGACUGGCCUGCACAGAGCCCUGACCUCAACCCUUCGAACACCCUUGUGAUGAAAUGGAAUGGAGAUUACGAACCAGGUCUUUCUGUCCAGACCUCACUAUUGCUCUACUGCAUAAAUGGGCAAAGAUUCCCACAGAAACACUCCACUCAAGCAUUCCCAGAAGAGCGGAAACUGUUGUAGCUGCAAAGCUGGCUAUGUAUUUCAAAUGUGAAAGUUCCUGUUGGUGUAAUGAUCAGGUACUCCAAUACUUUUGUCAUAUAGUGUAUGUUUUUGUCUCUCUCCAGUGGUUUAACUCAUCACCUUUCUGCAGUGAUAUAGGUGUAACCAGGAUGUGACAACACUGCUGCUUAUGGUUAUAUGUGCAACAGAACAGUUAACAUUUUCAGCCAGAGAGUACAGUGAAACACUGUUUAUCAGUCAUUUACUCCUUAAUGUCUCUUUUCUUGUUGUUUCUUAUUAUUAAUUUUUUAGAGUCCUUUUUAUAAUGGAUCUAUGUGUCUCUAGCAAAUUUCAUUAAACAGUCCUGUGUUGGGGUUAUGUUAUAACUUAACUUAAGUUAUAACUUUAAUAUUUAUUACCAUGCUGAAUUGUUAUGAAUUAGUUCUUUAUUUUGAAACAUUCAGAAUUUUUAUUGCAAGAGGUACCAGGGCCAGGUAUAUAGGAAGCUUAUUGUCUUUGUAAAGUAUUUCCAAUUUUUGUCUAGUCUGUAAAGACUCACUGUGUUGAUUAACAUGUAAACAUUUUCUAUGCAGAUUUGGUGCAGGUUUUUUUCUUGGUCAAUUACAUGCUUUGUUCAUGCGGGGGAAAAAAGGAAAUCUUACAUGCGAGAAAUGUUGGUCAAGUUGGCAAAGGCAUUCUGAGGAAUAGAAGAAAGUUUUGUCCCCACAAGCCACCUGAAACAGAAAUAAAUGUCCUGAGACUUUCCAGUCUUAAUACAAUGGUAAGUAGUAGUAAAGAAUGUGGUUACUUACACCUCCUGCGUGCUGGAAUGGAAAACAGGCAUGACCUCAGGUCCAAAACAUGACACACUGUAGAUGUCCCAGUCACACUGGCAAUGAGCUGGACAAUAUUCCACAGGAAGAGUGAACUCAACAGUACCGAAAAUGAAAAAAAGGAUAUUCAAAUCAGGCUUCAUUGUAAGAGCUCUGAUACAGUGGUGGAGGCUCCCACGUUACACUGCAAGAUCACAAACUGGCACUUCUGGUCAAAACCUUCAAAAUAAAAGCCUAUUGCAUAAGCAUGUUCCCUUGUAUAAUCAAAUAAAAUGAAGCCACACAUGGAAACUGUCUGAGGUAAACUACACCUACUAUGGGGCUACUGCUAGCUAACUUUUAUGACAUCAGUGACAGCUACCAACCGUUGUUGUCCUUGCCUGAUGCAACUGACAUUUAGAAUAUUGAUGAACAUAUACUGAUUCACACAAUGAUGAGAACGAUAAAUAAAAUGUUUUGGUUGGCCAGGGGGAACCUUGAGCAUAACAUGGAAUGACUCCCCUUUUUCCUAGGUCCCAAGGACGACCAGUGUCAUGGUGGAACUAUAGUUGGUACAAUUCCAACGAAAGACAAGCUCCCUUAACCCAAAAUACAUAGCUCAAAAAAGACAGAAAACAACAUGUUGCACAAGUUUGUCUGAAGAUGUACAACUAUUUAAAUGUGCAACAUCAGAGAAGGUGAAAUUCACCUUUCCUUAAAUACAUGUUUGUAUUUAAGCAAUACAAUUUGACAUUCAAUCAUGUUUUUCUCUUUGGAGUUGAUUUACUUCUGAUUACAAUUUAAUUGUGAUUCUUGGAAAGCAUUGUUUUUCAUUGUAUAUAAAUACAAUACUAAUCAUGUAUUUUCAUCAUGUAUUUACUUUGUGAUUGUUGUGUUUAGUAAAAAAUACUGUAAAUGACUUAUUUUAAGGAACCAACAAAAGUCAAACUUGGUACCAAAAUAUCUCACCUGUUUUUUGACAAUCAUAAUAACUGUUUACAUUGUAGUGUGACCUGCUUGCAUGCAAAUGGUCCAAAUAAAUCACAAUAGUUUUUCAGAAUGCAUUGUUCCUUCAAGAAACAACACACAGCAGUACGUUACUAGCAGUAAGUAAAAUUGUAGCCAACAUUAAGAUGUAAUAAAUAGAAAAACUGUC
Scatophagus argus is the source of this 3841-nucleotide RNA transcript. It is a transcript of the gene named interleukin-6 receptor subunit beta-like, with no coding region annotated. The transcript has 9 exons. Lineage: Eukaryota; Metazoa; Chordata; Actinopteri; Scatophagidae. The record is from RefSeq and is a predicted model, not a curated record.